Molecule: unclassified non-coding RNA, 164 nt
Filed under: uncultured Helotiales
Lineage: Eukaryota; Fungi; Ascomycota; Leotiomycetes; Helotiales
Description: sequence contains ITS1
Source: RNAcentral
CAGAGUUCGUGCCCUCACGGGUAGAUCUCCCACCCUGUGUUAUUAUACCUUUGUUGCUUUGGCGGGCCGCCCUCGGCUACCGGCCCCGGCUGGUACGCGCCCGCCGGAGGUAUCUAACUCUUGAACUUUUAUGGCCUCUCUGAGUCUUUGUACUUAAUAAGUCA